Molecule: long non-coding RNA, 1191 nt
Filed under: Strigops habroptila (Kakapo)
Lineage: Eukaryota; Metazoa; Chordata; Aves; Psittaciformes; Psittacidae
Description: lncRNA (ENSSHBG00005017747.1)
Source: RNAcentral
UUUCACAGUUUGUUACACAGGUUUCCUCUAGUUCUCCCGGCCAUUCUUAUCACGCAUUCCUCUUAUCUGUCAUAUGAAGUCUGAAUGUUUUCUUUCAUUUUACAUAUUGUCUCACAAGGACAACACAGUAAAUUUGUUCACCAUCUCUGACAGUGCGUGCCUGCCUUUUAGUAUUUCUUCAGUAAUAGAAUUAAUUUAUCUGCAGCCUUGGAUUUAUUGUUUAUGCAUUCUGCAUUUGAACAAAGCAAUAUAUUAGUGAAGGACCUGAUCUGAUGCCUGCCUACUGAAGUGAGUAGGAGUCUUCCUGUUGUUGAGAUCAGGCCCUCAAGCAUACCUGGCUACCACAGAAUUAUCACAGUGAGAAAAAGAAACUCCUCUAAGCAGAUCAGCUGGACUUAAUGCAUUAAUAACCCAGUAUUUAAUUUUGUGAAUUUCUUGGAAUGGAAAGACCUCAAAACAUACAAACUUCUCUGGACAUAAAUUAUUCCCUCUGCUUUUUCAGCUACAGGAGAUAACUGGAAAUGGAAUACUUACUGAAAAUGAGUCACAUGGGAUGAAUCAUUCUAUCAGGAACAGUUGCUAGCAAAUUCUGCAGAAAGCCAAAGUAUAAAGACAUGUAGUAAGACUGACUUGUGAAAAGUGUAAAUUCUAGUGCUUCUGUCAUUAUUAGGAUGUGUGAAAUUACUGUAAGGAAUUUAGCUUUAUUUCCUUAGCAUGUUUGGUUGUAUCAUUAGAAGAAAAAUAGUCACUAAAAUCACCAUAAAAGAGAUGAAAACUUUUCAACUUACUCAAAGCUUCACUGAAUUUCCUGGAAACUGAUUUAUUUCUGAGAAUACACCCAUCAAUUAACCUAGUCACGUAAGCAGAGCAAAUGCAGUCUUUCAGUUUCAAGUUAUUCCUAGAGGGAAUUCUCUCUGAAUCGAUAAUGGUUUUUGUAUGCAGACUCUUAUAUCUGCAUGAAAAAAAAGUUGCAUGACCAUUUUCUGAGAAUGAAAAGGACCAUUUUGGUUAAAAUCCCAAUAUUAUUUUUCCUCUCAGUCUCUACUAGGCCAUAAUGACAAAGUAGAACAGAUUACUAAACAGAAGAUCUGUUUCAUCUUAUUGGGGAGGAGUGGGGGGAACCCUGGUGAACAUCAAUUUAUUUCUAAGUGCCAUUGAAGUAACCCUAAAGAUUAGAUAACUAAAAAAAGA